GAUGAACGCUGGCGGCGUGCUUAACACAUGCAAGUCGAACGGGAAACCUUUUAUUGAAGCUUCGGCAGAUUUAGCUGGUUUCUAGUGGCGGACGGGUGAGUAACGCGUGGGUAACCUGCCUUAUACAGGGGGAUAACAGUCAGAAAUGACUGCUAAUACCGCAUAAGCGCACAGAGCUGCAUGGCUCGGUGUGAAAAACUCCGGUGGUAUAAGAUGGACCCGCGUUGGAUUAGCUAGUUGGUGAGGUAACGGCCCACCAAGGCGACGAUCCAUAGCCGGCCUGAGAGGGUGAACGGCCACAUUGGGACUGAGACACGGCCCAGACUCCUACGGGAGGCAGCAGUGGGGAAUAUUGCACAAUGGGGGAAACCCUGAUGCAGCGACGCCGCGUGAAGGAAGAAGUAUCUCGGUAUGUAAACUUCUAUCAGCAGGGAAGAAAAUGACGGU
RNAcentral lists this ribosomal RNA (447 nucleotides) under uncultured bacterium. RNAcentral describes it as "bacterial SSU rRNA". It matches the Rfam family "Bacterial small subunit ribosomal RNA", at positions 28 to 458 of the family's 1533-position model. The record is from RNAcentral.